Molecule: non-coding RNA, 75 nt
Organism: Ctenocephalides felis (cat flea)
Lineage: Eukaryota; Metazoa; Arthropoda; Insecta; Siphonaptera; Pulicidae
Source: the annotation of a RefSeq genome assembly
GGCCCUGUGGCGCAACGGUGUUAGCGCGUCUGACUCCAGAUCAGAAGGUUGCGUGUUCAAAUCACGUCGGGGUCA